Molecule: non-coding RNA, 432 nt
Organism: Thunnus maccoyii (southern bluefin tuna)
Lineage: Eukaryota; Metazoa; Chordata; Actinopteri; Scombriformes; Scombridae
Source: the annotation of a RefSeq genome assembly
AUGGUUACUGAGCUCAGAGAGGGAAAUGAAACACUGAAGACCAGUUUUAUCGAGUCUGAGGAAGACCAACAGAACCAGCAGCCUCCUCUGCUUGUUGUCUCUCUGUCUCCUCCUCCAGUGGGUCGAGUCACCCCCACCCUGACGGUGCUGCCCCCCUCCAGCGAGGAGCUGCAGCAGGGGAAGGCCACGCUCGUGUGUCUGGCCAACAAGGGCUACCCCUCAGACUGGAGUCUGGCCUGGAAGGUGGACGGCAGCAGCAGCAGCUUGGAGCAGAGCAGGAGCCCCGGGGUGCUGCAGAAUGAUGGCUGCUACAGCUGGAGCAGCACCCUGAGGCUCCCUGCAGACCAGUGGAGGAAGGUGGUCUCUGUGACCUGUGAAGCCACCCAGGGCUCCCAGACUCCAGUCUCAGAGACACUGAGGAGAGACCAGUGU